This 160-nucleotide ribosomal RNA is filed under the name uncultured bacterium. RNAcentral describes it as "partial 16S ribosomal RNA". It matches the Rfam family "Bacterial small subunit ribosomal RNA", at positions 333 to 488 of the family's 1533-position model. The record is from RNAcentral.
AGACUCCUACGGGAGGCAGCAGUGGGGAAUAUUGCACAAUGGGCGCAAGCCUGAUGCAGCCACGCCGCGUGUAUGAGAAGGCCUUCGGGUUGUAAAGUCUUUUCAGUCGUGAGGAAAGCGGCGUCGUUAAUAGCGGCAUCGUGAACGUAGCGACAGAAAC